Molecule: non-coding RNA, 29 nt
Filed under: Mus musculus (house mouse)
Lineage: Eukaryota; Metazoa; Chordata; Mammalia; Rodentia; Muridae
Source: RNAcentral
UAGCAGGUAUUCGUUUCACUGAGUGAGUA